UAAUUUCAGAUAUCAACAACAUCAGAUGUCUUCUUAACUUCCUUAUCGGAAAUCAAAACCAGAGGAUCAUUUAACGAUCAUAAUUUAACCAGGAAAUCAAAGCCAUUUGACGAUCAUACAUUAACCAGGUGGCCACUUUAUAUUUUAUUUCAACAGAAGCCCAAAGCAACAAUUAAAAUUUAACAAUAAGUUAUAUACAUGGGAAGUACUGAUGGUAAAAUUCAUGACUUGUAACCUGUAAUAAACCAUCUUCAACAGAUUUAUUCAAAUACUUAAUUAUUGUAAUACAAAAAUGGGAUAAUGACUAAAAUAAUAAUUAAUUUCUCAAAAGCUACAUUUCUUAAAUUAUGUAAAUUUUCGUCAUUGAUCCCCAUUUAAACACGGUCUAGUUAUUCGUUAACUUUAUAUUGACAGUUUUCACACAAAAGUUAUCUUAACUGGAAGAAGAAUAACUACCGGUUAAACGAUAACUCAAGGUGGUGAAAAUGGGGGUAAAUAAAAAUA
Long non-coding RNA from Lucilia sericata (common green bottle fly), 504 nucleotides. RefSeq lists it as uncharacterized. The transcript has 3 exons. Lineage: Eukaryota; Metazoa; Arthropoda; Insecta; Diptera; Calliphoridae. The record is from RefSeq and is a predicted model, not a curated record.